This 253-nucleotide ribosomal RNA is filed under the name uncultured bacterium. RNAcentral's name for it is "partial 16S ribosomal RNA". It matches the Rfam family "Bacterial small subunit ribosomal RNA", at positions 524 to 776 of the family's 1533-position model. The record is from RNAcentral.
UACAGAGGUCCCAAGCGUUGUUCGGAUUCAUUGGGCGUAAAGGGUGCGUAGGUGGCGGGGUAAGUCAGGUGUGAAAUCUCGGGGCUCAACCCCGAAACUGCACUUGAUACUGCCUUGCUUGAGUACUGGAGAGGAGAUUGGAAUUUACGGUGUAGCAGUGAAAUGCGUAGAUAUCGUAAGGAAGACCAGUGGCGAAGGCGAAUCUCUGGACAGUUACUGACACUGAGGCACGAAGGCCAGGGGAGCAAACGGG